CAGGCUGCUUAUAUACGAGCCGGUGCGGUCGGUGUACCAGGCGGUGGACGGCAGGCGCCUCGACGCCGGCAACACGUGGGUGCCCGUCAGAGACAAGACCGUGCUUGAAGUUAGGUGCGUCGCUGAAGGUGGAGUCCCUCCUCCGGAACUGUCAUGGCGUCUUCUGGCUCUAGAACCGGCGCUCGACCACCGGCCCUAUCUUCGUGUACAUCACACUAAUUAUUCUAUUGAGGGCGUGUCGUGGU
This 245-nucleotide unclassified non-coding RNA is filed under the name Melitaea cinxia (Glanville fritillary). RNAcentral describes it as "misc RNA ENSMCXG00005017185.1". The record is from RNAcentral. Lineage: Eukaryota; Metazoa; Arthropoda; Insecta; Lepidoptera; Nymphalidae.